Molecule: ribosomal RNA, 789 nt
Filed under: uncultured archaeon
Lineage: Archaea
Description: bacterial SSU rRNA
Rfam family: Archaeal small subunit ribosomal RNA
Source: RNAcentral
ACGGCUCAGUAACACGUGGACAAUCUAACCUAUGGAGAGGGAUAAUCCCGGGAAACUGGGGCUAAUACCUCAUAGACUAUGAAUGCUGGAAUGCUUCGUAGUUCAAAGGUCCGCCGCCAUAGGAUGGGUCUGCGGCCGAUUAGGUAGUUGUUGGGGUAACGGCCCAACAAGCCUGUAAUCGGUACGGGUUGUGGGAGCAAGAGCCCGGAGAUGGAUUCUGAGACACGAAUCCAGGCCCUACGGGGCGCAGCAGGCGCGAAAACUUUACAAUGCGGGAAACCGUGAUAAGGGAACUCCGAGUGCCCGUUAAAUCGGGCUGUCCAUCAGUUUAAAAAACUGGUGAAGAAAGGGCCGGGCAAGACCGGUGCCAGCCGCCGCGGUAAUACCGGCGGCUCGAGUGGUGGCCACUAUUACUGGGCUUAAAGCGUUCGUAGCUGGUUUGUUAAGUCUCUGGGGAAAUCUUCCGGCUUAACCGGAAGGCGUCUCAGGGAUACUGGCAGACUAGGGACCGGAAGAGGUGAGGGGUACUCCAGGGGUAGGAGUGAAAUCCUGUAAUCCUUGGGGGACCACCUGUGGCGAAGGCGCCUCACCAGGACGGCUCCGACAGUGAGGGACGAAAGCUGGGGGAGCAAACCGGAUUAGAUACCCGGGUAGUCCCAGCCGUAAACGAUGUGCGUUAGGUGUAUCGGUGACCACGAGUCACCGAGGUGCCGAAGAGAAAUCGUGAAACGUACCGCCUGGGAAGUACGGUCGCAAGGCUGAAACUUAAAGGAAUUGGCGGGGGAGCAC